RNAcentral lists this ribosomal RNA (428 nucleotides) under Chloroflexota bacterium. Its description in RNAcentral is "Chloroflexi bacterium partial 16S ribosomal RNA". It matches the Rfam family "Bacterial small subunit ribosomal RNA", at positions 355 to 775 of the family's 1533-position model. The record is from RNAcentral. Lineage: Bacteria; Bacillati; Chloroflexota.
UGGGGAAUAUUGCACAAUGGGCGCAAGCCUGAUGCAGCCAUGCCGCGUGUAUGAAGAAGGCCUUCGGGUUGUAAAGUACUUUCAGCGGGGAGGAAGGGAGUAAAGUUAAUACCUUUACUCAUUGACGUUACCCGCAGAAGAAGCACCGGCUAACUCCGUGCCAGCAGCCGCGGUAAUACGGAGGGUGCAAGCAUUAAUCGGAAUUACUGGGCGUAAAGCGCACGCAGGCGGUUUGUUAAGUCAGAUGUGAAAUCCCCGGGCUCAACCUGGGAACUGCAUCUGAUACUGGCAAGCUUGAGUCUCGUAGAGGGGGGUAGAAUUCCAGGUGUAGCGGUGAAAUGCGUAGAGAUCUGGAGGAAUACCGGUGGCGAAGGCGGCCCCCUGGACGAAGACUGACGCUCAGGUGCGAAAGCGUGGGGAGCAAACAG